AUUGAACGCUGGCGGCAGGCCUAACACAUGCAAGUCGAGCGCGCGGCGGACGGGUGAGUAAUUUCUUGGCCACUGCCUGAUGUAGGGGGAUCACUACUGUAACCGGUAGCUAAUACCGCAUACCAUCAGCUCUGCCCUGAUGGGAUUAGCUAGUAGGUGGGGGAACGGCUCACCUAGGCGACGAUCCCUAGCUGGUCUGAGAGGAUGACCAGCCACACUGGAACUGAGAAACGGUCCAGACUCCUACGGGAGGCAGCAGUGGGGAAUCUUGGACAAUGGGCGCAAGCCUGAUGCAGCCAUGCCGCGUGUGUGAAGAAGGCCUUCGGAUUGUAAAGCACUGUCAGCGGGGAGGCGUUACUCGCAGAAGAAGCAACGGCUAACUCCGUGCCAGCAGCCGCGGUAAUAC
Molecule: ribosomal RNA, 406 nt
Filed under: uncultured bacterium
Lineage: Bacteria
Description: partial 16S ribosomal RNA
Rfam family: Bacterial small subunit ribosomal RNA
Source: RNAcentral